CCUACGGGAGGCAGCAGUGGGGAAUAUUGGACAAUGGGCGCAAGCCUGAUCCAGCCAUACCGCGUGUGUGAAGAAGGCCUUCGGGUUGUAAAGCACUUUAAGCAGGGAGAAAAAGUUAUAAGUUAAUACCUUAUAACCGUGAUGUUACCUGCAGAAUAAGCACCGGCUAAUUCCGUGCCAGCAGCCGCGGUAAUACGGAAGGUGCAAGCGUUAAUCGGAAUUACUGGGCGUAAAGCGCGCGUAGGUGGUUUGUUAAGUUGGAUGUGAAAGCCCUGGGCUCAACCUAGGAACUGCAUCCAAAACUAACUCACUAGAGUACGAUAGAGGGAGGUAGAAUUCAUAGUGUAGCGGUGGAAUGCGUAGAUAUUAUGAAGAAUACCAGUGGCGAAGGCGGCCUCCUGGAUCUGUACUGACACUGAGGUGCGAAAGCGUGGGUAGCGAACAGGAUUAGAUACCCUGAUAGUCCACGCCGUAAACGAUGACAACUAGCUGUUGGAAGACAAUGUCUUUCAGUGGCGCAGCUAACGUUUUAAGUUGUCCGCCUGGGGAGUACGGCCGCAAGGCUAAAACUCAAAUGAAUUGACGGA
Molecule: ribosomal RNA, 587 nt
Filed under: uncultured bacterium
Lineage: Bacteria
Description: bacterial SSU rRNA
Rfam family: Bacterial small subunit ribosomal RNA
Source: RNAcentral